RNAcentral lists this ribosomal RNA (253 nucleotides) under uncultured bacterium. RNAcentral describes it as "partial 16S ribosomal RNA". It matches the Rfam family "Bacterial small subunit ribosomal RNA", at positions 524 to 776 of the family's 1533-position model. The record is from RNAcentral.
UACAGAGGGUGCAAGCGUUAAUCGGAAUUACUGGGCGUAAAGCGUGCGCAGGCGGUCGUUCAAGUCGAGUGUGAAAGCCCCCGGCUCAACUGGGGAGGGUCACUCGAUACUGAUCGACUCGAAGGCAGGAGAGGGUAGUGGAAUUCCCGGUGUAGUGGUGAAAUGCGUAGAUAUCGGGAGGAACACCAGUGGCGAAGGCGACUACCUGGCCUGUUCUUGACGCUGAGGCGCGAAAGCUAGGGGAGCAAACGGG